RNAcentral lists this ribosomal RNA (997 nucleotides) under uncultured bacterium. RNAcentral describes it as "bacterial SSU rRNA". It matches the Rfam family "Bacterial small subunit ribosomal RNA", at positions 356 to 1376 of the family's 1533-position model. The record is from RNAcentral.
GGGGGAUAUUGCACAAUGGGGGGAACCCUGAUGCAGCGACGCCGCGUGGAGGAAGAAGGUUUUCGGAUUGUAAACUCCUGUCGUUAGGGACGAUAAUGACGGUACCUAACAAGAAAGCACCGGCUAACUACGUGCCAGCAGCCGCGGUAAAACGUAGGGUGCAAGCGUUGUCCGGAAUUACUGGGUGUAAAGGGAGCGCAGGCGGGAAGACAAGUUGGAAGUGAAAACCAUGGGCUCAACCCAUGAAUUGCUUUCAAAACUGUUUUUCUUGAGUAGUGCAGAGGUAGAUGGAAUUCCCGGUGUAGCGGUGGAAUGCGUAGAUAUCGGGAGGAACACCAGUGGCGAAGGCGGUCUACUGGGCACCAACUGACGCUGAGGCUCGAAAGCAUGGGUAGCAAACAGGAUUAGAUACCCUGGUAGUCCAUGCCGUAAACGAUGAUUACUAGGUGUUGGGGGAUUGACCCCCUCAGUGCCGCAGUUAACACAAUAAGUAAUCCACCUGGGGAGUACGACCGCAAGGUUGAAACUCAAAGGAAUUGACGGGGGCCCGCACAAGCAGUGGAGUAUGUGGUUUAAUUCGAAGCAACGCGAAGAACCUUACCAGGUCUUGACAUCCGAUGCAUAGCACAGAGAUGUGUGAAAUCCUUCGGGACAUCGAGACAGGUGGUGCAUGGUUGUCGUCAGCUCGUGUCGUGAGAUGUUGGGUUAAGUCCCGCAACGAGCGCAACCCUUAUUGCCAGUUACUACGUUAAGAGGACUCUGGCGAGACUGCCGUUGACAAAACGGAGGAAGGUGGGGAUGACGUCAAAUCAUCAUGCCCUUUAUGACCUGGGCUACACACGUACUACAAUGGCGUUAAACAAAGAGAAGCAAGACCGCGAGGUGGAGCAAAACUCAAAAACAACGUCUCAGUUCAGAUUGCAGGCUGCAACUCGCCUGCAUGAAGUCGGAAUUGCUAGUAAUCGCGGAUCAGCAUGCCGCGGUGAAUACGUUCCCG